UACGGAGGAUCCAAGCGUUAUCCGGAUUUAUUGGGUUUAAAGGGUGCGUAGGCGGACCCUUAAGUCAGUGGUGAAAGUUCGCGGCUCAACCGUGAAAUUGCCAUUGAAACUGAGGGUCUUGAGUGUAAAUAAGGUAGGCGGAAUGUGUUGUGUAGCGGUGAAAUGCUUAGAUAUAACACAGAACACCAAUUGCGAAGGCAGCUUACUGGGAUACAACUGACGCUGAGGCACGAAAGCGUGGGGAUCAAACAGG
This 253-nucleotide ribosomal RNA is filed under the name uncultured Paludibacter sp. RNAcentral's name for it is "partial 16S ribosomal RNA". It matches the Rfam family "Bacterial small subunit ribosomal RNA", at positions 524 to 776 of the family's 1533-position model. Lineage: Bacteria; Pseudomonadati; Bacteroidota; Bacteroidia; Bacteroidales; Paludibacteraceae. The record is from RNAcentral.